This is a non-coding RNA of Siniperca chuatsi (mandarin fish), 480 nucleotides long. The record is from the annotation of a RefSeq genome assembly. Lineage: Eukaryota; Metazoa; Chordata; Actinopteri; Centrarchiformes; Sinipercidae.
AUGAAGCCUGACUUCACCCCCACCCUGACGGUGCUGCCCCCCUCCAGCGAGGAGCUGCAGCAGGGGAAGGCCACGCUCAUGUGCCUGGCCAACAAGGGUUUCCCCUCAGACUGGAGUCUGGCCUGGAAGGUGGACGGCAGCAGCAGCAGCAGCUGGGAGGAGAGCAGGAGCCCCGGGGUGCUGGAGAAGGACGGCCACUACAGCUGGAGCAGCACCCUGAGGCUCCUUGCAGACCAGUGGAGGAAGGUGGGCUCCACCCAGGGCUACCAGACUCUGCUCUCAGAGACACUGAGGAGACACCAGUGUCCCCAGUCCUGACCUGACUCACUGGGACUCUGCUACUGGUUUUACUCUGCUACUGCUCUCAGCCGUCACUCAGUAACCGUUUCUCUCUCUUUCUCUCUUUCUCUCUGUCAGCAAAAUCAUUUCAUUUUUAAAUUUUGAACAAAAAAAACUAUGAAAAAUUGAGAAGGCGGACAG